This 390-nucleotide ribosomal RNA is filed under the name Nephrops norvegicus (Norway lobster). Its description in RNAcentral is "partial 12S ribosomal RNA". Lineage: Eukaryota; Metazoa; Arthropoda; Malacostraca; Decapoda; Nephropidae. The record is from RNAcentral.
ACCUGGGAGUAAAUUUAAAUGCUUGAAUAUUAAUAGUUAUAUUCUUAAAAAUCAAAGAAUUUGGCGGUAUUUUAGUCUUGUUAGAGGAACUUGUUCUAUAAACGAUAAAACACGUAGAAUCUUACUUAUCUUGGUAAUUACACAGUUUGUAUACCGUCAUUAUUAAAUAAUCUUGAAAAAGCUAAUUAUUGGGAUUAAUAAAUUAAAUAUAUUAGAUCAAGGUGCAGCUGAUAGAUAAGUAGAAAUGAGUUACAAUAAAAUUUAUUUAUAACGGAUUGCAAGUAGAAUUAUUUGCAAAGAAGGUGGAUGUAAUUGUAAAAAGAGUUUAAUAAGCUUUUUUGGUAUAAGCUCUAAAUUAUGCACAUAUCGCCCGUCACUUUCAUUUAAAAU